Molecule: ribosomal RNA, 884 nt
Filed under: uncultured bacterium
Lineage: Bacteria
Description: bacterial SSU rRNA
Rfam family: Bacterial small subunit ribosomal RNA
Source: RNAcentral
GAUUCGCCCUUGUGCCAGCAGCCGCGAGUAAUACGGAGGAUCCAAGCGUUAUCCGGAUUUAUUGGGUUUAAAGGGUGCGCAGGCGGAAGAUUAAGUCGGCGGUGAAAUUUUGCAGCUCAACUGUAAAAGUGCCAUCGAUACUGGUUUUCUUGAGUGUGGAUGAAGUAGGCGGAAUUUGUGGUGUAGCGGUGAAAUGCAUAGAUAUCACGAGGAACUCCGAUUGCGCAGGCAGCUUACUAGGCCAUAACUGACGCUCAGGCACGAAGGCGUGGGGAUCAAACAGGAUUAGAUACCCUGGUAGUCCACGCAGUAAACGAUGAUUACUCGCUGUUUGCGAUACACAGUAAGCGGCUUAGCGAAAGCGUUAAGUAAUCCACCUGGGGAGUACGUUCGCAAGAAUGAAACUCAAAGGAAUUGACGGGGGCCCGCACAAGCGGAGGAACAUGUGGUUUAAUUCGAUGAUACGCGAGGAACCUUACCCGGGCUUGAAAUGCAUCUGACAGGAGCAGAGACGCUCUCUCCCUUCGGGGCAGAUGUGUAGGUGCUGCAUGGUUGUCGUCAGCUCGUGCCGUGAGGUGUCGGCUUAAGUGCCAUAACGAGCGCAACCCUCAUCAUUAGUUGCCAUCAGGUAAAGCUGGGGACUCUAGUGAGACUGCCAUCGUAAGAUGAGAGGAAGGUGGGGAUGACGUCAAAUCAGCACGGCCCUUACGUCCGGGGCGACACACGUGUUACAAUGGGUGGUACAAAGGGCAGCUACAUGGCGACAUGAUGCUAAUCUCCAAAACCACUCUCAGUUCGGAUCGAAGUCUGCAACUCGACUUCGUGAAGCUGGAUUCGCUAGUAAUCGCGCAUCAGCCACGGCGCGGUGAAUACGUUCCCGGGCC